AAAUAUGGGGUUACAUCGUGUAAAAUAUCAAGGGAACAUGUUGUAGUGCAAUCAAGAUAUUGAAGUUGAAGAUCCAUUAUAACUUUCUUUUCAUUUUUGCCAAAGGGGGGAGUAAGAUUUAAGGGGAGUAGUGCAAAAAUGUUUUGGUUUUGUUCUCAACUUAUCUUGGUAUUAGUUUAAUGUUUUUAGGGGGAGUUAUGUUUUUUCUUUUUCUUUUUUUUUUAUUUUGGAACUUUAUGUUUUGAACUUUAUACUUCAUCAUUGAUUUUUAAGUUUUGUAAGAGAGAUCUGCAAUGUGAAAUUGUUUAUUCUAAUCUCUCAAUUUUCUAU
RNAcentral lists this long non-coding RNA (330 nucleotides) under Gossypium raimondii (Peruvian cotton). RNAcentral's name for it is "long non-coding RNA (GRAI_LNC001527)". The record is from RNAcentral. Lineage: Eukaryota; Viridiplantae; Streptophyta; Magnoliopsida; Malvales; Malvaceae.